GUGGGGAAUAUUGGACAAUGGGCGAAAGCCUGAUCCAGCCAUGCCGCGUGUGUGAAGAAGGUCUUCGGAUUGUAAAGCACUUUAAGUUGGGAGGAAGGGCAGUAAGUUAAUACCUUGCUGUUUUGACGUUACCGACAGAAUAAGCCCCGGCUAACUCCGUGCCAGCAGCCGCGGUAAGACGGAGGGGGCAAGCGUUGUUCGGAAUUAUUGGGCGUAAAGGGCUCGUAGGCGGAUCUGUAAGUCUGGCGUGAAAUCUCGACCGCUUAACGGGGAGCGUCCGCUGGAUACUGCAGAUCUGGAGUUCGGUAGAGGAUCGUGGAAUUUCGGGUGUAGCGGUGGAAUGCGUAGAUAUCCGAAAGAACACCAGUGGCGAAGGCGACGAUCUGGGCCUGAACUGACGCUGAGGAGCGAAAGCUAGGGGAGCAAACGGGAUUAGAAACCCGUGUAGUCC
This 451-nucleotide ribosomal RNA is filed under the name uncultured bacterium. RNAcentral describes it as "partial 16S ribosomal RNA". It matches the Rfam family "Bacterial small subunit ribosomal RNA", at positions 354 to 796 of the family's 1533-position model. The record is from RNAcentral.